Molecule: ribosomal RNA, 443 nt
Filed under: uncultured bacterium
Lineage: Bacteria
Description: partial 16S ribosomal RNA
Rfam family: Bacterial small subunit ribosomal RNA
Source: RNAcentral
CCUACGGGAGGCAGCAGUGGGGAAUAUUGGGCAAUGGAGGCAACUCUGACCCAGCAACGCCGCGUGAAUGAUGAAGGUCUUCGGAUGGUAAAGUUCUGUGAUGGGGGAUGAACAAAAUGACGGUACCCCAAUAGCAAGCCACGGCUAACUACGUGCAAGCAGCCGCGGUAAUCCGUAGGUGGCAAGCGUUAUCCGGAAGGACUGGGCGUAAGGGGUGCGUAGGUGGUUUAGUAAGUUGGCGGUGUAAUUCCGGGGCUCAACCUCGGCGCUACCGCCAAAACUAUUAGACUAGAGUGCAGGAGGGGUAAGUGGAAUUCCUAGUGUAGCGGUGGAAUGCGUAGAUAUUAGGAGGAACAUCAGGGGCGAAGGCGACUUACUGGACUGUAACUGACACUGAGGCACGAAAGCGUGGGGAGCAAACAGGAUUAGAUACCCCAGUAGUC